This is a non-coding RNA of Oryctolagus cuniculus (rabbit), 1850 nucleotides long. Lineage: Eukaryota; Metazoa; Chordata; Mammalia; Lagomorpha; Leporidae. The record is from RefSeq and is a predicted model, not a curated record.
GCUAUUACAAAACAGUGGCAGAUUUCGAACUCUGUCAGUAAGAAUGGAUUGACAAAGAAAAGAACUAUGUAGACACACAGGGGGAUUAUGGGUAAAGAGACAUUGGAAGAGCAUCAAAAGUUCUCUGAAGGAAAACUUCUACUUCACAAACGGGGAAACUGAGGCUUCCAGUAAGGUUAAGAGACUUCACGGUUAUACAAAGAGAUGAAACCACCAAGAAAUAGUGGUUGGAAAGAAGAUUUAAAACCAAGUGCCAACCAUGGCAGAUUUGAAAUCCAGUCAAUGCCAGCCAAAUAUGAACUCAAAAGUGCUCAUAAGAAGGGACUAAGGUUUACAAAACAAUCCUCUUAGAUGAGCUAAAUACAAGAGAAUCAGAACCAUAUGGGUUAAAUUCCCCUUGAAAUACUCAUGGAUUUAAAAUUAAGUGGAAAAGUGCUUGGCACAGCAUAAAUUCCAAGCAUUUGAAAUGCAGUUAGAAAUCAUUUUCUUUGAGACCUGAAAGGAUUCCUGAAGAUAUGCUGCACAAACACCAGGUAUUCUUAUAGCAAUGGCAACUACUUCUCAUAGUGACAAUAGUUCAAACUAUGUAACAGAAGAACCUCAAUCUGAAUCCCAGCCCUACCUAGUAUUAACACUGUGCCACUCCAUAGCCUCAAUCAGCCUUGAGGCUGGCAUGUGUCAAAUACAGACAGUAACAGUUCCUUUCAGUGUCCUUACAGUUAGGGUGAAAUAUUAUAUGUAAAAUACCUAGAAUUAUCUCAAGCAUGGUUUUUAUCAGUUAUAUUUUUUAAAGCAUUACUCUAAAAGGGGUCAAUAAUGAAGUGAUUUAAGAAAAAGCUUCUUAAAGUAGCAUAAAACAUCCAAGAGGGACAGUUUAAUAAGCAGAACCACCUGUCCCAACUUAUAGACUUUAGGAUAUCCUUUAGAAGACUGUGUGGGUUAAAGGAGGGACUUUGAGAUACCUAGGCCCAUGACUAAAAGGUAAGUUAACUGCAUUCUAUGAAAACUACAAAAAGAAAGCCCAUGUUUCAUUGAAAGAAGCAAGUGGUGUGUUGAAAGAAAAGCAGGUAGAAACCAAAUCCCUCUUCAUUCAAGAGUUUGUUAAUCUUGUGUCAACCCCUUAUGUCAUGAUCAGAACAUUCCUUAGAAAAAACAUCAAUUCCAACUUUUCUCUGUAGAUGAAAAACCCGAAACUAAGCAGCGAAAUGAUGUGUCCAAGGUCACAUGGUGAUUGGAUAGUACAGCCGGCACUAGAACUUGAGUUUCCUGCCUCUGGUCCAGUACUAUUCUCACUAAAUCAUGUUACUAUUCUGGACGCAAGCCUAAUAAACGCGGGUGCCAAGUGGCAACUGGUUUCCCCUCCCGAGGAGCAAUGGAAGGGGCAGCAGAGUCCUUUUUCACCUUGGAACAUGCCAGAGAUGGCGUCAAGAAAGCCAGGUUUAAACCAGGUCAGCCAGCAGGGUUUGUCUAAAGCACAGCUGAGCAAGCUGCAAUCAAGCCAGGAUUCCGUCAGUACAACGGGUGUGUCAGCGACAAAGUCGAGUGAAUGCCGUUCAAGCCAAAUAUUCAUUGAGAAGACUCGGUAAGAUAGGUCCAGGUGGGGGAAGCAAAGAGAAAAUGAUUAGGUGAAGGUUGAAAAAAGGGUGCUGGAUGACUGGGUUUUCCUCUACAGCAUCCCUCUUGCACUGAGGUGGCUCUGAGCACACUUAGCUGUUUGUGGAAGUUCCUCAAGACAUUUGCCAUCACUUGGUAUGCUUGCAUUUGCAAGAUUCCCACUUCAGAAAAAAAUCUGAAUGCUGACACCAUGCCUAAAACAUUAUUAAGCCAUGAGCAGAUGACUUUGCCAAAAU